Molecule: ribosomal RNA, 497 nt
Filed under: uncultured bacterium
Lineage: Bacteria
Description: partial 16S ribosomal RNA
Rfam family: Bacterial small subunit ribosomal RNA
Source: RNAcentral
GAUGAACGCUGGCGGCGUGCCUAAUACAUGCAAGUCGAGCGAACAGACGAGGAGCUUGCUCCUUUGACGUUAGCGGCGGACGGGUGAGUAACACGUAGGUAACCUACCUAUAAGACUGGGAUAACUUCGGGAAACCGGAGCUAAUACCGGAUAAUAUUUCGACCCGCAUGGUUCGAUAGUGAAAGAUGGCUUUGCUAUCACUUAUAGAUGGACCUGCGCCGUAUUAGCUAGUUGGUAAGGUAACGGCUUACCAAGGCAACGAUACGUAGCCGACCUGAGAGGGUGAUCGCCCACACUGGAACUGAGACACGGUCCAGACUCCUGCGGGAGGAAGCAGUAGGGAAUCUUCCGCAAUGGGCGAAAGCCUGACGGAGCAACGCCGCGUGAGUGAUGAAGGUCUUCGGAUCGUAAAACUCUGUUAGUAGGGAAGAACAAACGUGUAAGUAACUGUGCAUGUCUUGACGGUACCUAAUCAGAAAGCCACGGCUAACUACGUG